AUCAAUGAUCUGAAGUCAAGUGGGAUUACCGAUCUGAAGUCAAGUGGGAUCGCUGAACUUAA
RNAcentral lists this ribosomal RNA (62 nucleotides) under Rhizopus stolonifer. RNAcentral's name for it is "partial 28S ribosomal RNA". Lineage: Eukaryota; Fungi; Mucoromycota; Mucoromycetes; Mucorales; Rhizopodaceae. The record is from RNAcentral.